UAGGGAAUCUUCCACAAUGGACGCAAGUCUGAUGGAGCAACGCCGCGUGAGUGAAGAAGGUUUUCGGAUCGUAAAGCUCUGUUGUUGGUGAAGAAGGAUAGAGGCAGUAACUGGUCUUUAUUUGACGGUAAUCAACCAGAAAGUCACGGCUAACUACGUGCCAGCAGCCGCGGUAAUACGUAGGUGGCAAGCGUUGUCCGGAUUUAUUGGGCGUAAAGCGAGCGCAGGCGGAACGAUAAGUCUGAUGUGAAAGCCCACGGCUCAACCGUGGAACUGCAUCGGAAACUGUCAUUCUUGAGUGCAGAAGAGGAGAGUGAAUUCCAUGUGUAGCGGUGGAAUGCGUAGAUAUAUGGAAGAACACCAGUGGCGAAGGCGGCUCUCUGGUCUGCAACUGACGCUGAGGCUCGAAAGCAUGGGUAGCGAACAGG
Molecule: ribosomal RNA, 428 nt
Filed under: Bacillota bacterium
Lineage: Bacteria; Bacillati; Bacillota
Description: Firmicutes bacterium partial 16S ribosomal RNA
Rfam family: Bacterial small subunit ribosomal RNA
Source: RNAcentral